AUCUCUUCAUCUUGGAAGAUCGAAUGUUUCGAAGGCGGACCUAAAGGAGAAGCUCUCAAGGAUGUACGAGGUGAAAGAUCCAAACU
This is a long non-coding RNA of Telopea speciosissima, 86 nucleotides long. RefSeq lists it as uncharacterized. The transcript is spliced from 3 exons. NCBI's taxonomy places the organism in Eukaryota, Viridiplantae, Streptophyta, Magnoliopsida, Proteales, Proteaceae. The record is from RefSeq and is a predicted model, not a curated record.